UUAGUUCAUAUUUGUAUGAAAUGGGAUCGUUUGCGUACGUUUGCCGCUAGGGCCGCUGUUCCAACUGCAUACAAAAAUGGCUUA
Molecule: microRNA precursor, 84 nt
Filed under: Bombyx mori (domestic silkworm)
Lineage: Eukaryota; Metazoa; Arthropoda; Insecta; Lepidoptera; Bombycidae
Description: mir-2807 microRNA precursor family
Rfam family: mir-2807 microRNA precursor family
Source: Rfam by way of RNAcentral